RNAcentral lists this ribosomal RNA (852 nucleotides) under Patellaria chromolaenae. RNAcentral's name for it is "Patellaria sp. AM-2020a partial large subunit ribosomal RNA". It matches the Rfam family "Eukaryotic large subunit ribosomal RNA", at positions 91 to 981 of the family's 3401-position model. The record is from RNAcentral. Lineage: Eukaryota; Fungi; Ascomycota; Dothideomycetes; Patellariales; Patellariaceae.
GAGUGAAGCGGCAACAGCUCAAAUUUGAAAUCUGUCCCUUUUAGGGACCGAGUUGUAUUUUGUAGAGGGUGCUUCGGGGUUGGUCCCGGUCUAAGUUCCUUGGAACAGGACGUCAUAUAGGGUGAGAAUCCCGUACGUGGCCGGUGGCCCUCCCCAUGUGAAGCCCCUUCGACGAGUCAAGUUGUUUGGGAAUGCAGCUCUAAAUGGGAAGUAUAUUUCUUCUAAAGCUAGAUAUCGGCCGGACACCGAUAGCGCACAAGUAGAGUGAUCGAAAGAUGAAAAGCACUUUGAAAAGAGAGUCAAACAGUACGUGAAAUUGUUGAAAGGGAAGCGCUUGCGACCAGACUUGCCCGCAGUUGCUCAACCGGCCUUCUGGCUCGGUGCACUCUUCUGCGGUCAGGCCAGCAUCGGUUCGGGCGGUCGGAUAAAGACCUUGGGAAUGUGGCUCCCCUAGGGGAGUGUUAUAGCCCUUGGUGCAAUGCGGCCAGCCUGGACCGAGGACCGCGCUUCGGCUAGGAUGCUGGCGUAAUGGUCGUAAGCGGCCCGUCUUGAAACACGGACCAAGGAGUCUAACAUCUAUGCGAGUGUUUGGGUGUUAACCCAUACGCGUAAUGAAAGUGAACGGAGGUGGGAACCUUUGGGUGCACCAUCGACCGAUCCCGAUGUCUUCGGAAGGAUUUGAGUAAGAGCAUAGCUGUUGGGACCCGAAGAUGGUGACUAUACCUGAAUAGGGUGAACCCGAGGAACUCUGGUGGAGGCUCGCACGGUUCUGACGUGCAAUCGAUCGUCAAUUUGGGUAUAGGGGCAAAGACAAUCGAACCUUGCUAUAGGGGUCAAAGGCGAGCCUGAGGG